RNAcentral lists this transfer RNA (69 nucleotides) under Dryophytes immaculatus (spotless tree toad). RNAcentral's name for it is "tRNA-Asp". It matches the Rfam family "tRNA". Rfam says of the family: Transfer RNA (tRNA) molecules are approximately 80 nucleotides in length. Their secondary structure includes four short double-helical elements and three loops (D, anti-codon, and T loops). Lineage: Eukaryota; Metazoa; Chordata; Amphibia; Anura; Hylidae. RNAcentral also lists the same sequence under 3 other names. The record is from RNAcentral.
GAGGAGUUAGUUAACUCAUAACAUCACCUUGUCAAGAUGAAAUAACGGGUUAAACCCCCGUACACCUCU